This 352-nucleotide long non-coding RNA is filed under the name Hordeum vulgare. RNAcentral describes it as "long non-coding RNA (HVUL_LNC008720)". The record is from RNAcentral. Lineage: Eukaryota; Viridiplantae; Streptophyta; Magnoliopsida; Poales; Poaceae.
GAAGUUGCAGCUAUGGCGAACUUGUAAUCUAAACAAAACCCAAGUCUAAACGAUGCCCUAAGGGUUGUAUAUAUGAGGAACAGAGAGGCAAUUUCGUGACCCUUUGAGGAGGGGUCCGAAAACAGCCCUAAACUCGGUUUCCCCACACAUACGGACUCUAAAAAUAGCCUAUAUUAUGGUAUUUUGAAAUUACAUGGGCCUGACCCAAAAAUAAGAUGGCGCAACACCUAUAAUAGCCUAUGGACGAAAUUUAUAAAGUGGCGUCUUGAAUAUUUCGUCCAAAGCCUUCAUGCUCCCCUUAUGGUGGCUUUAGAGUGUGAAAAUCACCAGUGGAAGCUCCAUUGUUCUCUCC